Oryza rufipogon (brownbeard rice) is the source of this 207-nucleotide microRNA precursor. It matches the Rfam family "MIR812 microRNA precursor family". Lineage: Eukaryota; Viridiplantae; Streptophyta; Magnoliopsida; Poales; Poaceae. The record is from Rfam.
AAAAAGACAAACUAUAGGUUUCCGUGUCCAACUUUGACCGUACGUCUUAUAUGAAAUUUUUUUAUAAUUCGUAUUUUCAUUGUUGUUAGAUGAUAAAACAUGAUUAAUAUUUUAUGCGCGACUUGUCUUUUUAAUUUUUUUUCAUAAUUUUUUUUAAAUAAGACGAACAGUCAAAUGUUAGACACGGAAACCAGGGUUUGUCUUUUU